GACGAACGCUGGCGGCGUGCCUAACACAUGCAAGUCAACUUGACUGAAGGAGCAAUCUGACAGUAGAGUGGCGCAAGGGUGCGUAACGCGUAGGUAACUUGCCCCAAGGUAAGGAAUAACGUCGAGAAAUCGGCGCUAAUACCUCAUAAUGCAGCGGAUCCGCAUGGAUAUGUUGUUAAAGGUUUACCGCCUUGGGAUAGGCUUGCGUCUGAUUAGCUAGUUGGUGUGGUAAACGGCACACCAAGGCUACGAUCAGUAACUGGUCUGAGAGGAUGAUCAGUCACACUGGAACUGAGACACGGUCCAGACUCCUACGGAGGCAGCAGUGAGGAAUAUUGGGCAAUGCUCGAAGAGUGA
This 357-nucleotide ribosomal RNA is filed under the name uncultured bacterium. RNAcentral's name for it is "bacterial SSU rRNA". It matches the Rfam family "Bacterial small subunit ribosomal RNA", at positions 28 to 386 of the family's 1533-position model. The record is from RNAcentral.